AGUGAACGCUGGCGGUAGGCCUAACACAUGCAAGUCGAACGGCAGCACAGUAAGAGCUUGCUCUUACGGGUGGCGAGUGGCGGACGGGUGAGGAAUACAUCGGAAUCUACUUUUUCGUGGGGGAUAACGUAGGGAAACUUACGCUAAUACCGCAUACGACCUACGGGUGAAAGCAGGGGAUCUUCGGACCUUGCGCGAUUGAAUGAGCCGAUGUCGGAUUAGCUAGUUGGCGGGGUAAAGGCCCACCAAGGCGACGAUCCGUAGCUGGUCUGAGAGGAUGAUCAGCCACACUGGAACUGAGACACGGUCCAGACUCCUACGGGAGGCAGCAGUGGGGAAUAUUGGACAAUGGGCGCAAGCCUGAUCCAGCCAUACCGCGUGAGUGAAGAAGGCCUUCGGGUUGUAAAGCCCUUUUGUUGGGAAAGAAAAGCAGCGGGUUAAUACCCCGCUGUUCUGACGGUACCCAAAGAAUAAGCACCGGCUAACUUCGUG
RNAcentral lists this ribosomal RNA (492 nucleotides) under uncultured bacterium. RNAcentral's name for it is "partial 16S ribosomal RNA". It matches the Rfam family "Bacterial small subunit ribosomal RNA", at positions 29 to 507 of the family's 1533-position model. The record is from RNAcentral.